UAUUAUAUUUGAAUCAUGGAACGGAGGGAAUCGAUGGCAUUUUGGCUUAAUCGUUGCACCUUGAGCCUGCGAUGCGCUAACGCAAACUCGAUUUCUCGACUACGAAAAAAACAGAAAAAGAGGGAUUUAAGACACUUGGCCUACAGGCCAGUGUAAUAACGGUAUUUGGUCUACAUAUCUUUAAUUUGAAAUUUCCUUUCGUUGGCUGUUUUAUCAACUUUUAAAAACUGAAAAAUCACCGCGUUGUCGAAUCGCGUCCGGUGUGGGUCAGCCUUUACAUGAAGUAGUUACCGAUCAUUCUUCCAAUGGCAUAGCCAACGUCAUAGACUCCAGCUCGAUCCUAAAUCCAUCUAAUUGGUUUAUUUCUGUCACAUGAUGCUUAUUUAUAUUCACUAGUAUAAAAGCGCAUGUAAUUCUCCUGACUCCCGCUAAUCUGAAGGUAGCCAUUGGGUCUUCUAUGCUUCUACGCAGAAGUUUUUGAUAUGGUAAAAAUCGAAGGAAGUCAAGAAAGCUCUGCUAUCAUUCAGAACAGAACGGCGACCAACCAAGAGAGUGAUCACAAUAAGUCAAUAUCUUAAUUAUUUACGCUCCGAAUUACUUAUAUCGCAUAUCAAUUACUACAUUAAUUAAAAAUCGACUGAGAAAUCUUGAAAUACUGCAUAAAUUAUAGUUCAUUCAAACAUACUCUAACACGUCAUUGUUUGGCCAUUUUUCUAAGUUUUUUUAGCAAAUUAUUUACGCAUUAUUUAGCCUGUGAUGCAGACACACAUCUAUAUCUCGAUUGUGGCCGCUAAACUGUAACAUAUUUUGCUUUUCAAAAAAAAAUGAACUCAAAUGAGCACAGAAUAGACUAUACAGAAGCCAGGCUUCUUGGUUUUUCCUAUGAUUUCCAAUAAUUUUAGCGUAACCGUAAUUCGUCAUCAAAAUGCUGACGCCAUGCGCCUAGCCAGUGCGCGUUUGAGAGGCAUUCACCCCCUGAAAAUAUUCAAAAUGGCGGAAAUCCAGGAGGGUAAUGCCUCUCAUAAACGCACUGGCUAAGCCCAUGGCGUCAGCAUUUUGAUAGCUAUGUAGCUUCACUGCCUCCACGUGAUUUUUGGAGUUCCAGUAGCUUAUGUACGUGCUAUCAAUUACGUUCUGAAGCACACUUCUUAGAUUUAGAAUUAGCCGCUUAGAUAAUGGAAGUGGCUCGUCUUGCCGGUUAACUCGCCUCCAUAUAAACAGGCCCUCAGUAAGCUCAGUUACAGAGUGACUGGAACUCGUAACUUCCACAAAGGUUUCCGUGCACUUUAAGAUUUCCUCAUUAUGCGACUAACCGCUGAGGUUUGUGUGUGGGCGCAUGAAAAAAUGUGAAAAAAUCAAAUGAAACCUCAUGAUACAGAAUAAAGACAUAUGGUAAUUGCUAGAUAGUAUACUUCAAAAUAAGAUUUCCGUUUUUAUAUCAAUUUUAAAAUAAGUUAGGAUUAGGUUAGGGUUUAGGUUAGGGUGAGGGUUAGUAUUAGGGGUAGGUUUUAGUUUUGCGUUAGGAUAGUUUUUUCUACGUUAUAAAAACGGAAACCUUAUUUUGAAGUAUACUAUCUAGCGAUCAUCAAAGACAUAUAGAAGGGUCAACUCGAGUAACCGCUAGCACGCCAUGAUUAAUCUAAACCUCGCUGAUAAUAACUCAGGUGGAGCUAGAAACCCUGGGCAAAACAUCUGCGACCAGCCUAGUCCCAGGCUCUCUCUCUCUAUUCGCUGCUUUGAUAUAUUUAAAUAAGUCUUAAAAGUUUUACGCCUGGGUGUGCUGUGCGGAACGCUUCAGCGUGAGAGCCUAGCAGAUUUCGGUAAAAUGGACCCUGAUUUCAAAAAAGUGGUCACUGGCCUGGUUACCAAGCAUACCGCAUUUGUAAAUGGGAAAUGUUAUGGAAAUUUCCUUUGCAUUUAUAAUUAAGUCAUUAGUUUCGCUCUAAUGCUGUCGGAACAAAGAAAUAGGCUACGUUUGGCUACCAUACGGUCAGAAUGGAAUAACCGGCUAAAUAGGACUCGUGUUUACUAAAAUAUAUAUAUGUUAUUUACCGGAUUGGAGGUCCGUAUAGAGAAAUAUUUCUCGAGGUCUUAAAAACGGCCCGAGGUCGAAGGCCGAGGGACGUUUUUAAGACCGAGAGAAAUAUUUCUCUAUACGGACCGACCAUAUACCGGUAAAUAAUAUCGGGAAGAGAAAUAUCUUUUGUGAGAUAGUAAAAUUCGUUUCCACUGUGUUUUUCAUUGUCUGCAGACAUUUUAAUGUUUUAAAAAGUAGCCUUUAAACUCGUCUUUAAAUUUUGAAAAAUAAAAACAUUGGCCCUACGGCUUUAAAUCUCGCGCGGUCCGUACGGGCUCAUACGGACCGCUCACGUAGCCAAUCAGAUUGCAGAAAAGCGUAAAAUAUGACUUCGGACCGCAAGAAAAAAAAUAAAAAGCCAUAUUAACUGCUAUCUGGAAGCUUGAAAAUUAUGCCGAGUCUUCGACUAAAAAUGUUUUGACAACACAGUCAUGUCAGGCAAAUAUUUCCAAUCUCCUUAGCUACUUAAACCUGUCGAGUAGAAAGCAUAGUUGUGUAUACCAGUAUGGUCGAUCUAGUGUUGAUCACAACUUGCGAGUAUAUAAAUAACAUGAACGAUUAUACGACCAUUGCACAGACUCAGUAUCGUAAAUUUGUAUAUAAAUUUUUUUAAUUGAGCACAUUUUUAAUACAGUUUGAAUUUGGUUAUGUAGACAUCGAACAUGAUCACAUUGUCGACAUUUUUCGUAUUUACAAAGUUAUUUGUAUAUAUAACUUUCCCGCCAUAUUAAAAAUACUGAAAUCUGCUAGGCGUUCUGAAGUAUCUUUAGCGUUGACGUCACACCUAGAUCCCAGUCUCGUACUACAUCCACGUUUUUCUCGCGCUUGCUUCAGAACGACUGGGACUAGGCUGAUCUGCGACAUCUCCCCCUUACCCCCAACUAUUCAAUUUUGAUUGCAUCCCCAGUAUAGUACGGAUAAAGCAACUGUAAAACGUCCAACAAUGGUUUUUUUUUGGGGGGGACACAAGCAAAUUAUUCUGGUCUAAUAGAAUAAGUAAAAAAAACAAAACACAUAGGGAUGUCUUAAUAGAGUAUCGCAGAUGGUUUUGACCAGGAUUGUACUUAUCGAUUGGUUACCGCAACAUAAAAUCAACAAGCAUGUAAGCAUGCACUAAUGCCAACAAUGACAUCGACACUCAAACAACUCCAACACUUACACGCCCAUGGUUGCAUGUAGGAAUAGAACUUUAUGAAUUAUGAAUUUGAAACAUUCUAACAACGAAUUAGUCGCACUUCGCUUUAUUCUUAUGGCUAUCAAAUAUCCAAGCUGCUUUUAGGACGAACCGUGUGGCACGAAAUGUUCAUUCGUUGAUGUUGCAUCUGCAUGCAUGAUUUUAGUGAAACCAGUAUUUGUUUCGACAUUCGUUUAGACGCGAGACUAUACAUUAAAUACGAAUGGAGAGGACAAAUAAUUCUACCUAAAUGUUGAUUCAAAACUCAUCGUGUGGGUGAUAAUCUGGGUGGCAUGCUGCUGGUGUAUGGAAUACAAAUUCGUAUUCACAUUUACUUGGUUCUGCUACACCAACCAAUUCGUUCUUAGUUCCACAGCUGAGUUUCACCU
Molecule: long non-coding RNA, 3640 nt
Filed under: Paramuricea clavata
Lineage: Eukaryota; Metazoa; Cnidaria; Anthozoa; Malacalcyonacea; Plexauridae
Source: RNAcentral